This is a long non-coding RNA of Fundulus heteroclitus (mummichog), 133 nucleotides long. RefSeq lists it as uncharacterized. The transcript is spliced from 3 exons. Lineage: Eukaryota; Metazoa; Chordata; Actinopteri; Cyprinodontiformes; Fundulidae. The record is from RefSeq and is a predicted model, not a curated record.
GCUUGACAAGAAGCUUUCUCAGUAGACUGGACCACAAUCCUUUCUAGACGUGUGUACUAGAAGAGGGAUGCAGUGGACUUGACUAUGGAACAGAAGUGGCCAAUCAGAGUCUUUGUCACUGAUUGUGACAUUA